GGAAAUUAAGGCUGCUUUUAUCUGUUCUCAUGAACUCCUUGUUAAAAAUGGGUUAAACAAAAGCCAAAUCUGUUCUAACAGUGUAUAGCAAUUCCUAGAGGCGUCGGUCUGGUUGGCCAGUUAAUUCUAUGAGUCUUCAUCGGAGUGGCUCUCUGAUUCGGGAUUUGCCACGCCCUAAGAGCUGUCUUAACCGCUCUGUGUUCUGCUUGUGCCAGAUGCUGCUGGAGCUGUUUUACAUCGAUUAUUCCUUUUAAUCCUCACAGGGAUCUCCUGCAGUACAUCUGGUACUAUCAGAUCUAUCAAGAGAGACUCGGCUUAGGCAAUGCAUCCAGCAUCCUACAGAUAGUAAAUGGGGAUGCCAAAUCCAUAUUGAGGUCAGUCUGACACAGGAGUCUGAGUUCGUAAUAGCCCUGUAAUGAGGGGAUAUCAAUGGAGUGUGAAGUCUCAUCCAGAUGUUUGCAUAUACUUUUGAUUCAGCAAAUGCUUGUUUUAUAAUCAUUGUGUAUCUGUAUGUCUUAGACUUAGCAAGGUGGCUUGAGGCAAACAAAUAUGGAUCUGACAGGGAUGCUGCAGUGUGGUUCGAAAGAUAACAUGCAUACCCAAAAAUUGAUGGAGCUCAAUGAUGUAAUGAAGUUCUGGGGUUCCGCGUGUUAUUUUUAAAAACAUAACUGAUGUGAGGGCAGGUGCCACUCGGGAGAUUGAAGCAAGAGGAUCACAAGUUCAAGGAGAGCCAGUGAGUUUCGCUGGUAUCUGUGUCAGCCAGGGUCUCCUCAUUCCAGAAGAAGAACUGCAGGGGUCUGGGGUAUCCUUGUGUAUCAACCAGGAAAUGGAGAAGCCUGUUCUAAGUUCACUUGAAGCCAAAUUACAAAGGAGCAGACGGGAUCCCAGAAACAAAGAUGGCACCAG
This 906-nucleotide long non-coding RNA is filed under the name Mus spicilegus (steppe mouse). Its description in RNAcentral is "lncRNA (ENSMSIG00000019186.1)". The record is from RNAcentral. Lineage: Eukaryota; Metazoa; Chordata; Mammalia; Rodentia; Muridae.